Molecule: long non-coding RNA, 4644 nt
Organism: Vespula vulgaris
Lineage: Eukaryota; Metazoa; Arthropoda; Insecta; Hymenoptera; Vespidae
Exons: 7
Source: RefSeq, a predicted model, not a curated record
UGUGACACCCUGUUUAAUAUCGUGUUCCUCAAAUGAUUGAUAUUAAUCAGAAAGAGAAAUAAGAAGACAAAAUUUAUAAUGGCCAUGACGACGAACGUUCUCGAAACCAAUAUAGUAUUGUUUCACUAAGCUAGGUUCAAAGGGUGGUACGAGGCUAGGGAAUAUAUCCCUUCAAAGGAUCGAAAGGUAAGCAGUUUCGGAAAGAGGAUAUAAUCGAUUGCGUCUGGAAGGUUCGUCGAAGGGACAUCCACCAGUGCAUACAGGUCGUGGUCAAAGUGGAAUGUUUUCUCUAAUGAGAAAAUAUUCCUUCGUAGAAAAGCAGAUUUCAUUGCUGAAUCUUUUUGGAUCCUAUCUUCUUCCACCCUCUGAAGGAUUCAACGCAGUCGAGAAGGAAAAAUGAAGAUUAAUAAUAACGUUAUCAGUGUUCUUGGAUAUCGAAUUAAUGUUAAUUAAAAUAUCAAUUAAUUAGAAAAUUAUAUAUACUGUAAUAAUAUUUAUUUCAAUGCCAUGGGUGAAAUUGGGAACGAUAAAGAAAAUCUUAGAGCGAUUAACGAUGAUUCCAAGAAGGAAGAUCUGCGAAUCGAUGUUGAAGAUGAAGAAGAAGAAAAAGGAGAUGCAGGAGAUGCAGUAGACGAUGAAUAUGAAGGGAUUUAAAGAAAAUGCAUGUACGGAUUACGAUCUCCCCUACGUAUCGUCAAGUACCUUCGUAUUAAACGAUUCGUUAUUAUUUCUCUCCACCCGUGAGUACCCUUAUGAACGCUUGAAUGAAUCAGUUCAAGUGGACGGGAAUGAGUGCGCGGUUUUACGAGUGUACAUCUCCCGUUUGAUUUUAAAAACAGAGCGAUGGGCGUGUCCACUGACUUAAUUAUUCCGCUCGAGCGAGUACAUUUUCCUAAGAAUAUUCUCCCCAUUGUAGAAUGAUCCAACAGUCUAAUUAUCUAAUAUUUCGUAUAUUAUAUUCUAAAUUAAUCAAUUCCUAAGAAGAUAUUUUAUUUCUCAAUUUUUAUUUGAGAAUUUUUUAUUUCUAUUACGUAUAAUCGAGCACAGUAACGAUUUUAUUAUAUUUCUAGUAACAUAAUAUUUUUAGUUUUCGAAUGUAUUAUCCUUAUGAUUUUUUUUCUGAAUAGGAGCACAUAGAAUCUAACACCUUCAUAAUCUUCCCCAAACAUAGAGAUUUAUUCUACUUCUUUCUAGGCAUCGUUACUGGAUCAACCGAUCUACAUCGCAUGAAUCAUAAUUUAUAAAUAUUGUAGGAAGAGAUUUUCCAUGAAAUUACCAUUCCUUUUAAAUACAAUAUUCUGAAUUCUACUUUCUUGGUAAUGUCAAUAUUCUCUUCAAAAUGAAAAAAAAUAAAUUAAUAUGAAUAAUUAAAUGCCAACAAAAAUUUUCUUCCUAUAAACAUAAUUCGAUUUUUAUAAUGUGAAAUGAUCGAGAAAGUAUGAGUAUGGAGAAGGACGAACAGGGGAAUCAAAAAAAAAAAAAAAGAAAUAUAAAAAUAACAAGAAAAUUCCUUUUAUAGUAAUAUCUCUCCAAAAAUAUUGGUAACAUUGUGAAGAGAUGAUCAGGAAUAUAUGAAAAAGAAGGUGUUGAUCGAAACAGCGCAUGCUCGAAUCAAUAUAAGACGCUAGUUAUCCGCGCAAGUUGAAUAAACCGUUUAUUCUGUUUCGAACCGUCCUACAAGCAAGUUCUUGGGGAUUUCAAAAUAAGGCCGAUUUAAAAUAUUCCGGCAAGGCGUAACUAUAAAUCGAAUUAAAACUAUUUUCGCUAGUUACUUGAUGGUAAACUGAUUCGAUAUAUACGUAAAUGUAUGUAUGUAUAUACAUAUAUAUAUAUAUAUAUAUGUGUAUAUAUAUAUAUAUCUUUCUCCGUACCGUGUACUUUCUAUGUACUAUAGUUUAAUAUUUAUAUACAUAUUUAUUUAUAUAUUGGUCUACUAAUUGAUAAACUAUUCAUAUCUUUCUGAGAGUCACUACGGAUAUAAAUAAAGCACGGAUGUAAAAUUAAAAAGAAAAUUAAAAAAAUAAAUUAAAAUGAAAAAUUAAGUGAAUAUUAAAGAAAAAAGGAAACAUUGAGAAAAAAAGUGAACGAAUAAAAUUAUUGAGGAGAAAGUGUGUAUUGGGAAAAGGAAUCCGUUGAUAUCAAUUUCAUAUUUUAAUAUAUUUGUGUGGAAUAAAUAGAACCUCGAUUUUUGAUAAACAUUUGCUUCUUCUGAAUAUCAAGACAAAAUUUAACAAAAAAAGAAAAAACUAAAAGUUAUUCGACGAAAGUUGAAGCAAUUUAUGUUUAAUCGAAACGACAACGUGUCCAGAGCGACAAAACUCCAAGAAAGAAAAGACGAUCAGUAUACAAAUCGUAGUACUUGAAAACUGGCCGCUCAUUUGAAAUUGAUUUUAGGUAUUGCCGGAAAUAUUCUUCAUAUUCUUGGAUAUAAUUUUCGAUGCGAGGUCACCACACAGAUUGCUAAAAAUUGAUAUUCCUUGUAUACACGUCGAAAAAAGUCGAGCGUAAAAUUCAAAGGACCAUUAAAAAAAAAUAAUAAUGGGUAUAAUAUACGUCCAUUCCUGGCAAACUGCUGAGGCAGCAAGAAAACUUCGAUGUUUAUUCAUCGAAGUACAAAGAACUGAUUCUAUAACCGUCGAAACCAAUCAUGUAUUAUCUUUACAUGUUGGUAACGACGACCGUUUAUACAAUAUUCAAGUCUAAUAAAAAAUAAAUGAAAAUUAUCUAAUAUCCCAUUGGUGUUUCAUGGCGUGUUACGUUUAACGGAAUGUAUUAUUGUUAAAACAGCGGUUUAUUUAACUUCUCGUAUAUCUAUUUGGUUGAAAUGAAUUUAAAAUUACCGAAAGUAUUAAGUUUAAAGUUUUUAUCUUUAGAAAGAGAGAGCAACUAUCAAAAUCAUUCAAAGAUUCGUUUUUUGACAUUACACGUAGCGACGCAAUUCAAAUGCAACCAUCCCGAGAUCAAAAUUAUAAAUGAUUGAAAUUUUAGGUUAAAAUUAUUUUAUGUUAGUCGCUUACAUUACGAUCUUCGUAAUAUUUAAGCGAAUAUACCAUAUUACGUUUAAAUAUUACGAGCAUGAAAAUAAUUCAUCUAUCGAUAAUAUAUUAUUUCUAAUACGACAUUAAGUUGAAGUCUUAUAAAAGUUACUAUAAUUAUAAUAAUAUUCAGUUUAUCCAAUUACCAAGAAGAAUGAUACAAAUCCUUCGUUCUUUAAGUAAAAUGAUAAAAAACACCCUUUGCACUCGGCUUCCUCUUGGAUGAUAUCUUGCAACAACAUGACGUCAUUUCGUCGCGCAAAUGUGGUAUAUCGUGUAACAUAUUAUAUACUUUCACUUUGGUAUCAAGGAAUGUGUUAUAGUGGUAUUUGAUUUAUAUGAAUUUAUUGACAAAUUUUUUUUUUUUUAAUAGAAUCGAAAUUUUAUACCAUGUAAUUUUUUACGAUAUUUAUGUCAAGUUUUGUUGCAAUUCUUGUACACUAUUUUCAUCGUUAUCAUUAUCUAUGAGAUUUCUUCAUUUUUCUGAUAAACUUUCUGAGAGCUCGUUCGAAUGCAAGGGAUUAAAAAGGAAAAUAAAACAUGAAUUAAAAUCCAACAAGUAAUUGAUAUUAAAAGAAAAAUAGUCGUUACAAAAUAGACUUAAAAAAAAAGCAAACAGAUAUGUAUUUAGAAAAUGUAUCAUAUUUUUCAUCAAUUUCAUAUUUUUGUAUGCAUGGGUUAAAUGUAAACUCGAUUUUUGAUUUAUAUUUACUGUUCUCUUAAUUUUUUCAGAAAUUCAAUUCUUACUUUUUCAAAACUUCAUUAAUCACGCUCGGAAAAAAAAUUAAAUAAGCAGAAAGUUUCAUUUUUUAAAUGAAUUCUCAAUACAUAUUUGUUUGCUUUUCUCUUUCAUGUUCUUUUUUUUUUAAUUAAAAUUUUUUCUUUUAUUUUAAUUUAUCGUUUAAACUUCUUUUUGAUUUUAUUUUUACUUAUAUAUCUAAAAAUGUACACGCCAAAAUAAAUAGUUUAUCAACAUGUAAACAAUUAUAUGAAUAAGUAUGUAUGCAAACACGAUUAAAUUUUAGUAUAUAGUAAGAUAUAUAUAUAUAUGCAUAUAUAUAUACAUAUAUACAGUGUGUGUGUAUGUGUGUUUAAAUGUUUAAUUGUUUAAACGCACACACGUACACACGUAUACACACAUACAUGAAACGUAUAUAUAAGAAGAAACAUUAUGUAAAAUUAUCGUGAAAUUGAUUUUUAACAAUAUGUAAUGAACGUAUAAACGACUGGCGAAGAUAGUUCUAUGGCCCUCUAUUAAUAAUUAUAUCUUACACAACUGACUACAUAAAAACAAUUACUCCUGACUAAUGCAUUCAGAUUGAUAGACAGAAACAAAAAAAAAUCGAUCUUCCCAAGACCGUCUGGUUUAAAAUGAUAUAUAUGAUAUACAUUCCAUUAUCGCAACUGAUUGAGGGCAUAUAUAUUAUAUUGGAUUUUCUCUCUUUUGAGUCUUUUAAGAAUAUGCAUGGAAUAUUGUAAUGGAAUAUUGUAAUGGAAUAUUGUAAUGGAAUAUUGUAAUGGAAUAUUGUAAUGGAAUAUUGUAAUGGAACAUUGCAUGGAAUCUUGUAAUCUCUUUCAAUAUAUACAAUAAAUUCAAAUAUCUAAUCAA